Molecule: ribosomal RNA, 492 nt
Filed under: uncultured bacterium
Lineage: Bacteria
Description: partial 16S ribosomal RNA
Rfam family: Bacterial small subunit ribosomal RNA
Source: RNAcentral
AGUGAACGCUGGCGGUAGGCCUAACACAUGCAAGUCGAACGGCAGCACAGUAAGAGCUUGCUCUUACGGGUGGCGAGUGGCGGACGGGUGAGGAAUACAUCGGAAUCUACUUUUUCGUGGGGGAUAACGUAGGGAAACUUACGCUAAUACCGCAUACGACCUACGGGUGAAAGCAGGGGAUCUUCGGACCUUGCGCGAUUGAAUGAGCCGAUGUCGGAUUAGCUAGUUGGCGGGGUAAAGGCCCACCAAGGCGACGAUCCGUAGCUGGUCUGAGAGGAUGAUCAGCCACACUGGAACUGAGACACGGUCCAGACUCCUCCGGGAGGCAGCAGUGGGGUAUAUUGGACACUGGGCGCAAGCCUGAUCCCACCAUACCGCGUGGGUGGAGAAGGCCUUCGGGUUGUAGAGCCCUUUUAUUGGGAAAGAAAAGCAGCAGGUUAAUACCCCGCUGUUCUGACGGUACCCAAACAAUAAGCACCGGCUAACUUCGUG